Molecule: transfer RNA, 71 nt
Filed under: Marmota monax (woodchuck)
Lineage: Eukaryota; Metazoa; Chordata; Mammalia; Rodentia; Sciuridae
Rfam family: tRNA
About the family: Transfer RNA (tRNA) molecules are approximately 80 nucleotides in length. Their secondary structure includes four short double-helical elements and three loops (D, anti-codon, and T loops).
Source: Rfam by way of RNAcentral
GUGGUUGUGGCUCAGUGGUAGAGCACUCGCCUUGCACAUGCGAGGUCUUGGGUUUGAUCCCCAGCACCACA